Molecule: long non-coding RNA, 637 nt
Organism: Dermochelys coriacea (leatherback sea turtle)
Lineage: Eukaryota; Metazoa; Chordata; Testudines; Dermochelyidae
Exons: 3
Source: RefSeq, a predicted model, not a curated record
CCCUUGAAAAGAGAGAAAAAUACAUAGUAAGGAAGGAGCUUGAAAAAAUCCCAAUGGACCUUGAUGGCAUUAAAGAGCUCUUUGUAUCCAAAGGCAUCUGCUACAAAGCUUCUCCACUGAACACCACAACAACCCACCCUUCCCUGUAGCUCUCUUAGAGAAUGCAAGAAUUAGACACUGGCAAGGGACAGUGCAGGGAAGCCCCUCGACCAGCUUUGUGUCCAGACAGCUCCACUCCAACCCCCUAGUUACCCAUCAGCCUGAUGAGUUAUUUUUUUUUCUUUUGAAAGUUUUUUCUUUUUUUUUCCAGGGGAGAGCGCGAACGCAGUCCCCCAGUACCACGAAUUAUGCAGUCAAGUUUCCGCAUUUGGGGAAAUCACAGGGGUCAGCACACCCGCAGUGCAAUGGAUGAGCCUCGCCCUGGGAAAACCACCUUCGUGAUCAUGGAAUCUCCCCUGCUAGGUAAGUAAGCCCCAGUAUUAGUGUUUUCCUCAAAGCGCUUGUGAUGGGGUAUACCACACCCUCUGAUGCUCCCUGCUGGAGACUUCAUGGCCCUGUCACACCCUGCCCCAAAAAAGAGCAGUGGAGAGGGUCCUCCAAGCUCCCUAGAGUGGCUGUGUGGGAUGCUACCAGUCAG